UGUUUGCACGUGCACUGUGGCAUUUAAGCGAUGCCAAAUGGGGGCCAAAGGGCGCCUCACCCCUCUCUCUCUCUUUCCAUGCUCUCUCUCUUUCUCGCUCUGAUAUCACACAAACACAAAUACAAACACUAAAACAAAAGCGCGGGAGUUGUUUUGCUCUUGUUGUACUGCUCUGACUUGCUAUUGCUGUUGCAUUUUUGCAUGUGCAUUUGAUGUUAGUUUUUAUUGUUAUUGCAUUUGCGAUUUCGAGGUGCAUGGCAAGACCUCAACUAAGGCUAAAUUUGUUGUGUUGUUGUGACUGUUGUUGUUUAGUUGUAGUUGUGUUUGUUUGUGUAUUAGUGUGCGUGUGUGCGAUAAUAGUGCGCUAUAGGCGCUGCCGCAUUUGGGGGCUAUUGAGAUAGGCGCGCGAUUUGAUCAAUGCAGCUCAAACUAUAAAAGCCUUGGGGCGGCAUUAAGUGCGGCGCGUGUAGCAGUUUGACAGGCGUUACAGUGAUACUCAAACGGUAGGCGGCAAUUUACAGUUCUAAUGCGACAGAUGCUUCGAGUAAAAAUUAUUACAGAAUAAAAAUAACUGCUGGCGCAUUCCAUUCAGCAUGAGGGAGACAGAGACAGAUAGAGCGAGAGGACAGAAUUUUGGGCAUGAAGUUCGAGUGAACGUACUCGCACUCACAGUUGGCCGCGUCAAUGCACGCUGACGCAGCCGCAGACGCCGCCGUCACCGUCGCAGCGCUAAAGCAAUGACACUGAUCCUGGCGUUGAACUCUGUCAAUGCAGUGCCACGCUUCCGGCGGUGGUGAGAGCAGAGGAGCAGGCGAGACAGAAAGAGAGAGAGUGAGAGAGACAGAGACGGAGACAGGGACAGACACACAGCAAGAAUAGCCACUACAAAAACAAAGCAGACAUCAAUUUCGGUUUCGUUUUCGCUGCUUUAUUCUACGGUUAGUUAGCCUCCAGUUUGAGUUGUUGUUAAUUAUUAUGCUCGAAGCUUUUUGGGCAAGGUCAUUAAGCAGCGCCAACAGCGACAGCAACAACAAGCAUUAAUAAAAUAA
Long non-coding RNA from Drosophila navojoa, 1049 nucleotides. The record is from RefSeq and is a predicted model, not a curated record. Lineage: Eukaryota; Metazoa; Arthropoda; Insecta; Diptera; Drosophilidae.